CUAGAGAUAGAGUCUUCCCCUUCGGGGGACAAAGUGACAGGUGGUGCAUGGUUGUCGUCAGCUCGUGUCGUGAGAUGUUGGGUUAAGUCCCGCAACGAGCGCAACCCUUAAGCUUAGUUGCCAGCAUUAAGUUGGGCACUCUAAGUUGACUGCCGGUGACAAACCGGAGGAAGGUGGGGAUGACGUCAAAUCAUCAUGCCCCUUAUGAUUUGGGCUACACACGUGCUACAAUGGACAAUACAAAGGGCAGCUAAACCGCGAGGUCAUGCAAAUCCCAUAAAGUUGUUCUCAGUUCGGAUUGUAGUCUGCAACUCGACUACAUGAAGCUGGAAUCGCUAGUAAUCGUAGAUCAGCAUGCUACGGUGAAUACGUUCCCGGGUCUUGUACACACCGCCCGUCACACCACGAGAGUCUGUAACACCCGAAGCCGGUGGAGUAACCAUUUAUGGAGCUAGCCGUCGAAGGUGGGACAAAUGAUUGGGGUGAAGUCGUAACAAGGUAGCCGUAUCGGAAGGUG
This 517-nucleotide ribosomal RNA is filed under the name uncultured bacterium. Its description in RNAcentral is "bacterial SSU rRNA". It matches the Rfam family "Bacterial small subunit ribosomal RNA", at positions 1000 to 1514 of the family's 1533-position model. The record is from RNAcentral.